CUUUUAAAAACUUUUAUUUAGGCUCAGAGGUAUAUGUGAAGACUUGUUACAUGAGCCUCGAAAGUGACUUUAAUAUCCUGAAAACAUAUAGCUAAGACCCAAACUGGGAUUAGAUACCCCCCUAUGCUUAGCCGUAAACCCCGCUAUGCUUAGCCGUAAACCCAAAUAGUUAAAUUAAGAAAAUUACUCGCCAGAGUACCACAGGCAACAGCUUAAAACUCAAAGGACUUGGCAGUGCUUUAUAUCCCUCUAGAAGAGCCUGUUCUAUAAUCGAUAAACCCCAAUAUACCUCGCCAUCUCUCGCCACUCAGCCUACAUACCGCCAUCUUCAGCAAACAUUAAAAAGGCCUUAGAGUAAGCACAAGUAUGUACAUAAAAACAUUAGGUCAAGGUGUUGCCUAUGAAAUGGUAAGAAAAGGGCUACAUUUUCUAUUUCCCAGAAAAUUUUACAAUAACCAUAAUGAAACCCAAAGGUUCAAGGAGGAUUUAGCAGUAAAUGAAGAACAGAGUGCUUGAUUGAAUGAGGCCGUGAAGCACACACACACCACCCAUCACCCUCUCAAAUACUAGUCUAGAGACCACUAUUACUAAUAAUUUUCCUACACAUAUAAAGAGGAGAUAAGUUGUAACAUGGUAAGCGUACUGGAAAGUGCUCUUGGACUAACCAAAGU
Molecule: non-coding RNA, 671 nt
Filed under: Papio anubis (olive baboon)
Lineage: Eukaryota; Metazoa; Chordata; Mammalia; Primates; Cercopithecidae
Description: Bacterial small subunit ribosomal RNA
Rfam family: Bacterial small subunit ribosomal RNA
Source: Rfam by way of RNAcentral